GGCCGAAAUCCUGGAGAUCCGAACGAUCAGAAUCAUGAUAAUGUCCCGAUUGGGCCCCAGAGGGAUAGUUCGGAGUAGUUGUGGGGAAUCCAGUCAGCGUGCGUGCAUCAGCAUUUCGAGACGACUCGUGUUAGUCGACGUUCGGUGCAGCCCAACUGCUGAUACGUGACCGGAAGAAGAGUUUUGACGAUCAUCUCAGGUGCAUGAUUUUGGGUGGGGGCAAAAAAAAAAAACAAACAAACGAAAAAAAAUAAAAGCAGCGAAACCUGA
This is a long non-coding RNA of Syngnathoides biaculeatus (alligator pipefish), 270 nucleotides long. RefSeq lists it as uncharacterized. The record is from RefSeq and is a predicted model, not a curated record. The transcript has 2 exons. Lineage: Eukaryota; Metazoa; Chordata; Actinopteri; Syngnathiformes; Syngnathidae.